UAAUUAUAUUUUAUAUUUGUGUGUGUUAAUUAUGUCUUAUUCAUUGAUUUGUGGUGAAUACUGCCAAUUAAUCUCAUUUGUCUUCUAAACUAGUUUUGUCUUAUUCUAUCUAUUGAACGUGCUAAAAUUCAGCUAUUUUACCGUAUUUUUAUAUCCGCUGCAGAUAUUUGGUAGUUUCAGAUGUUUGGCAGAUAUUGUGAAAAUGUGAAGAUUAAAGAGUCUUAUACCGAUGAAAUGAGAAAUCUUGCAAUGACUUAUAAGAGGUUGGGUUACUUUCUAUAUUACCAAUUGAUUUUAUGAUGGGACCUUAACUUUCUUCAUGGUAUAAGAGCAAGUUGGCCCACAUGUUAAGCCUAACGAUCAAAUGUGCUUCACGUCACCUAAAUGGUGUCGUCCACGUGCUUGACUUGAAAAUUUAUCACACAUGAGAGGGUGUGUGAGCAGUGGCAUAGCCAGGAAUUUAAAGCGAUGAGAUUAAUAAAUAGCUUUAAAAAAUCGAUUAUACUUUCAUUUAUAAUUGUACACGACAUGUUCUCAUAUUUUUGAAACGUUGUCUCACAACACCAUUAUCAGUAGAAUCAAAUACAUCAUUCUCAUUGUACACAACCAAACUAUCAUUCAACUAUUGAUCUACCCAUCAUAUUAUGAUGUGGAUUCUCCACAAUUUUCAUCACCAAAAAGCUCUUUUGACUAACGCAGUUGCAACAGGUAAAAUCAAUGCUAAUUUCACUAACAAGUACACCAAGGGAUAUUGUCUAUCCCUCUUUGUCUCUACCAACUUUUGUACAAGGUUACUAAUUCCUUUCAACGCAGUAGCUUUGUUAAAUUAAAAAUUAUUAGUGUUAAUUAAUUUUUUUUUCUUAAGGAUAAGUUUGGAAGUAAAAGGUUUUUGGGAUAAGUUAACAAAGCAGGGUGCUGCUAUAGUGCUGCUAUACAGGUUCAUAAAAUUUUCAAAGGGAUAACUUGACAAGGUUAUUGGGGUCAAGGGAUGCUAAUUAGACCUGACAUUCAUGUAGUGUUUCCCGUAUUCGUGUUGUUUACGUGUCUUACCCGAUAUCUUAACGGGUUGUGUCGUGUAACACCUGUUAAAAUAAACAGGUAAAA
RNAcentral lists this long non-coding RNA (1104 nucleotides) under Malus domestica (apple). RNAcentral describes it as "long non-coding RNA (MDOM_LNC000462)". Lineage: Eukaryota; Viridiplantae; Streptophyta; Magnoliopsida; Rosales; Rosaceae. The record is from RNAcentral.